UACGUAGGGUGCGAGCGUUAAUCGGAAUUACUGGGCGUAAGCGUGCGCAGGCGGUUCGUUGUGUCGGCGGUGAAAGCCCCGGGCUCAACCCUGGGAAUGGCCGUUGAAACUGGCGAACUGGAGUGUGGCAGAGGGGGUGGAAUUCCGCGUGUAGCAGUGAAAUGCGUAGAGAUGUGGAGGAACACCGAUGGCGAAGGCAGCCCCUGGGUCAAGAUUGA
RNAcentral lists this ribosomal RNA (218 nucleotides) under uncultured bacterium. RNAcentral describes it as "partial 16S ribosomal RNA". It matches the Rfam family "Bacterial small subunit ribosomal RNA", at positions 524 to 743 of the family's 1533-position model. The record is from RNAcentral.